RNAcentral lists this long non-coding RNA (273 nucleotides) under Homo sapiens (human). Its description in RNAcentral is "non-protein coding lnc-PAPSS2-6:1". The record is from RNAcentral. Lineage: Eukaryota; Metazoa; Chordata; Mammalia; Primates; Hominidae.
UGAGUAUAUGCAUUCACUAAUGUAAAAUAAUUUGCCAAGAAAGGUGAAAUUAGUAUAUUGUACUUGACUAUUCACCUUUCCCUUAGUUUUUUGAAUUUUUUUCAUUGGUUGCAGAGGAAGUAUUAGCAAUUUAAUUCUUUUAAAAUAAUUUGCACUGGAAUAAAUAAGUAUCGGCAAAUAUAAGAAGAGUAACAUAAUUUAAGGGUGAAUUAAUUUUAUUUGGGAAGUUUUAGUUCUGUAUAGUUAAGGCAGAUUCUUCAUUUGCAACAGUUG